UUAGUUAAUUUUGUCUUUAUCUUUUUCAGCAGUAGAUGAAUGCAGCUAUAUCUUCUUUGACUUUGGAACUUUUGAAGUACAGCUUCUGGUUGGUUAACUUAUUCGCACCCAAGUACAUGGAUCUCAGCCACCAACAGUUUGAGUGUCCACCACCACACACGUAUGAACUAGUGGGACAUUUAGAGCAGUCACCAGUAUAACAACGCACAGUAGCAUCAAGCACUCUAGAAUCUUCAAAGAUUUUGGAUGUGGACGUAAUAACUUAGUAGAUCCAGGAUUUCCCUCGACAUCUGGUAAACUGUAGGAGGUGCCGUCUUGACUGGUUUUAGCUACAACAGUAGAUGAAUGCAGCUAUAUCUUCUUUGACUUUGGAACUUUUGUAGUACAGCUUCUGGUUGGUUAACUUAUUCGCACCCAAGUACAUGGAUCUCAGCCACCAACAGUUUGAGUGUUCACCACCACACACAUAUGAACUAGUGGGACAUUUAGAGCAGUCACCAGUAUAGCAACGCACAGUAGCAUCAAGCACUCUAGAAUCUUCAAAGAUUUUGGAUGUGGACGUAAUAACUUAGUAGAUCCAGGAUUUCCCUCGACAUCUGGUAAACUGUAGGAGGUGCCGUCUUGACUGGUUUUAGCUACAAGUUAUAACUUCUCUACAUCUA
Long non-coding RNA from Mytilus californianus (California mussel), 662 nucleotides. RefSeq lists it as uncharacterized. The transcript is spliced from 6 exons. The record is from RefSeq and is a predicted model, not a curated record. Lineage: Eukaryota; Metazoa; Mollusca; Bivalvia; Mytilida; Mytilidae.